AUUGAACGCUGGCGGCAGGCUUAACACAUGCAAGUCGAGCGGGGUGAUGGUGCUUGCACUAUCACUUAGCGGCGGACGGGUGAGUAAUGCUUAGGAAUCUGCCUAUUAGUGGGGGACAACAUCUCGAAAGGGAUGCUAAUACCGCAUACGUCCUACGGGAGAAAGCAGGGGAUCACUUGUGACCUUGCGCUAAUAGAUGAGCCUAAGUCGGAUUAGCUAGUAGGUGGGGUAAAGGCCUACCAAGGCGACGAUCUGUAGCGGGUCUGAGAGGAUGAGCCGCCACACUGGGACUGAAAGACGGCCCAGACUCCUACGGGAGGCAGCAGUGGGGAAUAUUGGACAAUGGGGGGAACCCUGAUCCAGCCAUGCCGCGUGUGUGAAGAAGGCCUUAUGGUUGUAAAGCACUUUAAGCGAGGAGGAGGCUCUUUUGGUUAAUACCCAAGAUGAGUGGACGUUACUCGCAGAAUAAGCACCGGCUAACUCUGUGCCAGCAGCCGCCGUAA
Molecule: ribosomal RNA, 503 nt
Filed under: uncultured bacterium
Lineage: Bacteria
Description: partial 16S ribosomal RNA
Rfam family: Bacterial small subunit ribosomal RNA
Source: RNAcentral